This 482-nucleotide ribosomal RNA is filed under the name uncultured bacterium. RNAcentral's name for it is "partial 16S ribosomal RNA". It matches the Rfam family "Bacterial small subunit ribosomal RNA", at positions 30 to 507 of the family's 1533-position model. The record is from RNAcentral.
AUUGAACGCUGGCGGCAUGCCUUACACAUGCAAGUCGAGCGGUAACGGGCCUUCGGGUGCCGACGAGUGGCGAACGGGGGCGUAAUACAUAGGAACGGGCCCGAUCGCGGUGGAUAACGAGGCGAAAGCUUUGCUAAUACCGCAUACGAUCUAAGAUAUUAAACCGGAGACCUCAAUGCCUUACGAGGGCUGUGCGGCCCAUGGCAGAUUAGGGAGUUGGUGGGGUAACAGCUUACCAAGCCCACGAUUUGUAGCUGGCCUGAGAGGAUGAUCCGCCACACUGGGACUGAGACACGGCCCAGACUCCUACGGGAGGCAGCAGUGGGGAAUUUUGGACAAUGGGCGCAAGCCUGAUGCAGCCAUGCCGCGUGCAGGAUGAAGGCCUUCGGGUUGUAAACUGCUUUUGUAAGGAACGAAAAGCCUUCUUUUAAUACAGGCGGGUCAUGACGGUACCGUAAGAAUAAGCACCGGCUAACUACGUG